CCUACGGGUGGCAGCAGUGAGGAAUAUUGGUCAAUGGACGAGAGUCUGAACCAGCCAAGUAGCGUGAAGGAUGACUGCCCUAUGGGUUGUAAACUUCUUUUAUAAAGGAAUAAAACGAGGCACGUGUGCCUUUUUGCAUGUACUUUAUGAAUAAGGAUCGGCUAACUCCGUGCCAGCAGCCGCGGUAAUACGGAGGAUCCGAGCGUUAUCCGGAUUUAUUGGGUUUAAAGGGAGCGUAGAUGGGUUGUUAAGUCAGUUGUGAAAGUUUGCGGCUCAACCGUAAAAUUGCAAUUGAUACUGGCAGUCUUGAGUACAGUUGAGGUAGGCGGAAUUCGUGGUGUAGCGGUGAAAUGCUUAGAUAUCACGAAGAACCCCGAUUGCGAAGGCAGCUUACUAAACUGUGACUGAGGUUCCUUGACCCGGGUAGUC
Molecule: ribosomal RNA, 429 nt
Filed under: uncultured bacterium
Lineage: Bacteria
Description: partial 16S ribosomal RNA
Rfam family: Bacterial small subunit ribosomal RNA
Source: RNAcentral